GGGCCAUUAGCUCAAGGGUUAGAGCAUCCGGCUCAUAACCGGCUGGUUCUAGGUUCAAAUCCUAGAUGGCCCACCA
RNAcentral lists this transfer RNA (76 nucleotides) under Herpetosiphonaceae bacterium. Its description in RNAcentral is "tRNA-Ile". It matches the Rfam family "tRNA". From Rfam's summary of the family: Transfer RNA (tRNA) molecules are approximately 80 nucleotides in length. Lineage: Bacteria; Bacillati; Chloroflexota; Chloroflexia; Herpetosiphonales; Herpetosiphonaceae. The record is from RNAcentral.